Long non-coding RNA from Ictalurus punctatus (channel catfish), 1641 nucleotides. NCBI's taxonomy places the organism in Eukaryota, Metazoa, Chordata, Actinopteri, Siluriformes, Ictaluridae. The record is from Ensembl.
UGAAUUUUAAAUAAAUUUUUCUUUCUUCAUUCACAUUUACUGCCAAAGUAAACACCAUGACAUAAUCUCGCUCAUCAUUUCCUUUACAUUUGUACUAUUUAAAAUGGAUUAUAUCCGCCUGUGUCAUUUAAUUCACUUUUCUUAAAACACCGUCAUCCCCCCCCCGUACUUUGGCAUAUGUUAUUCCACUUUGCUUUGUUAACUUCAGGUUAGGAUCUCAGGAAAACCCACCAAUCCCAGAGAAAAUAUUAUAUACUUAUGAACGUUGAGAAAUAUCUAUGAGGAAAAAGUUACAACCACAUUUUUUAAAAAAUGCUGUUUUAUGAUCUUUUUUUAAUUACCUGAUGUUUGGCGCUAGACCUGUGUCGGCGGUAGGCAUGUGCCGAUAUGACAUUUUUGUGUCACGGUUUACGAUGAUGUAUCGACUAUGUCUUUAACAGUAGCUGUUAUUAUUGGUCAGCGUUUUUAAGUGUGUGUGAAUUACUCAGGAUUUGGCUCCCUUUGUAUGUGACACCGGUUUACUCAACAAUCGCUCGCUAGCUUUGUAGCUCAGAUGAAUGGAAUGGUAGCAGCGAUAAUCUGUGAAGUGUAUCUGCGAUGAUAGUAUUAAGCCUGCCGAAUAUUGCAACGUAACGUCGAAGUGGUGGGUGUUGAUUCAGCGUUUUUGGUUAGCAAUGACUUUAUCAGCUUUGGUUUAGAGGUUCGAUCAGCUGUUGAAUCGGUUGGUUUUGAAUCCUGGAUUCAGUUGCCUAUGACAUGUUGUAUAGAUGAAGUAUGGCUCAGUGAAUUGGUUAUCUGUGAUUCAUUGAUCAGUUGAGUGACUCCUUGGUUCACUGAACGAAUCACCAGUGACUUGUUGAAUAAGCCAUCCAUUAGUAGGCAGAAGCUCUUUGAAUCAUUAGGCUGCGGCUCACUGAAUCGGUUAUGAUUGUUUCAUUGAAUAGAUCAACUGUGGCUCAUUGAAUCAGUUAGCUCUGGCUUAUUGAAUCAGCAAUCUGUAAGUCACUGAAUCAGUCAGCUUUGUCUUGUUGAAUCGGUCAGCUGUGACUCACUGAAUUGGUUAGCUGUGACUUGUUGAAUCGGUCAGCUCUGGCUCGUUGAAUCGGUCAGCUGUGACUCUUUGAAUCGGUCAGCUGUGACUUUGAAUUGGUCAGCUGUGACUCAUUGAAUUGGUCAGCUGUGGCUCGUUUAAUCGGUCAGCUGUGACUCACUGUAUCGGUCAGCUGUGACUCACUGAAUCGGUCAGCUGUGGCUUGUUGAAUCGGUCAGCUGUGACUCGGUUAAUUGUUCUGAAUAACUGAGUAUCGGCACAUGCCUCGUGUCUAAGCAUAACAUCUUAGUGUCCAUGUAGAUAAUCUCUUACGACAUUGUUGUGAUUUGUAUGUGUGUUUGUGUGUACCCGCUGCAGUAUUCCAGUUCCAAACCGGUGCUGUUAUGUCGUACGGCUCCGAUCCGUGUGCCGAUUUGUUAGUGUUUUCCGUUUUUUAAAAUUGUAGACGUCGGGAUCCGUUUUUAUUCACUCUCCGAUGCGCUUUGCUCUGCUCUUCUCUUUUUUUCUUUUCUUUUCUUUUUGUUGUUAAGUGUGUAUUUGUUGUAACUUGGGAGAUAACAGAUGGUAAUAAAGUUUGAUAAAUAUUUCAC